GGUUGUAAAGUUCUUUUACGAGGGAUAAUUAUGAUAGUACUUCGUGAAUAAGUGACAGCAAACUAUGUGCCAGCAGCUGCGGUAAUACAUAGGUCGCGAGCAUUAUUCGGAUUUAUUGGGCGUAAAGCAAGCGCAGGCGGAUGUGUAAGUUCUGUGUUAAAUGCAGCUACUCAAUAGUUGUAUGCACCGAAUACUACAUGUCUAGAUUGUGGUAGGGAGUUUCGGAAUUAAGCAUGGAGCGGUGGAAUGUGUAGAUAUGCUUAAGAACACCAGAGGCGAAGGCGGAAACUUAGGCCAUAAAUGACGCUUAGGCUUGAAAGUGUGGGGAGCAAAUGGGAUUAGAUACCCCAGUAGUCCACACCGUAAACGAUGGGUAUUAGAUAUUAGGGCUUUAGCUUUAGUGUUGUAGCUUACGCGUUAAAUACCCCGCCUGGGUAGUACAUAUGCAAAUAUGAAACUCAAAGGAAUUGACGGGGACCUGAACAAGUGGUGGAGCAUGUUGCUUAAUUCGAUAAUACACGAAAA
This 525-nucleotide ribosomal RNA is filed under the name Mycoplasma haemofelis. RNAcentral's name for it is "bacterial SSU rRNA". It matches the Rfam family "Bacterial small subunit ribosomal RNA", at positions 421 to 967 of the family's 1533-position model. Lineage: Bacteria; Bacillati; Mycoplasmatota; Mollicutes; Mycoplasmatales; Mycoplasmataceae. The record is from RNAcentral.